Molecule: ribosomal RNA, 610 nt
Filed under: uncultured bacterium
Lineage: Bacteria
Description: bacterial SSU rRNA
Rfam family: Bacterial small subunit ribosomal RNA
Source: RNAcentral
ACGGGAGCAUCCUGGUGGCGAGUGGCGAACGGGUGAGUAAUAUAUCGGAACGUGCCCAGUCGUGGGGGAUAACGCAGCGAAAGCUGUGCUAAUACCGCAUACGAUCUCUGGAUGAAAGCGGGGGACUCGUAAGAGCCUCGCGCGAUUGGAGCGGCCGAUAUCGGAUUAGCUAGUUGGUGGGGUAAAGGCCCACCAAGGCGACGAUCUGUAGCUGGUCUGAGAGGACGACCAGCCACACUGGAACUGAGACACGGUCCAGACUCCUACGGGAGGCAGCAGUGGGGAAUUUUGGACAAUGGGCGCAAGCCUGAUCCAGCAAUGCCGCGUGCAGGAUGAAGGCCUUCGGGUUGUAAACUGCUUUUGUACGGAACGAAAAGGUUUGCCUUAAUACGGUGGGCCCAUGACGGUACCGUAAGAAUAAGCACCGGCUAACUACGUGCCAGCAGCCGCGGUAAUACGUAGGGUGCGAGCGUUAAUCGGAAUUACUGGGCGUAAAGCGUGCGCAGGCGGUUAUAUAAGACAGAUGUGAAAUCCCCGGGCCCAACCUGGGACCUGCAUUUGUGACUGUAUAGCUAGAGUACGGUAGAGGGGGAUGGAAUUCCGCGUGUAG